Molecule: ribosomal RNA, 497 nt
Filed under: uncultured bacterium
Lineage: Bacteria
Description: partial 16S ribosomal RNA
Rfam family: Bacterial small subunit ribosomal RNA
Source: RNAcentral
GAUGAACGCUGGCGGCGUGCCUAAUACAUGCAAGUCGAGCGAACGGACGAGAAGCUUGCUUCUCUGAUGUUAGCGGCGGACGGGUGAGUAACACGUGGAUAACCUACCUAUAAGACUGGGAUAACUUCGGGAAACCGGAGCUAAUACCGGAUGAUAUUUUGAACCGCAUGGUUCAAAAGUGAAAGACGGUCUUGCUGUCACUUAUAGAUGGAUCCGCGCUGCAUUAGCUAGUUGGUAAGGUAACGGCUUACCAAGGCAACGAUGCAUAGCCGACCUGAGAGGGUGAUCGGCCACACUGGAACUGAGACACGGUCCAGACUCCUACGGGAGGCAGCAGUAGGGAAUCUUCCGCAAAGGGCGAAAGCCUGACGGAGCAACGCCGCGUGAGUGAUGAAGGUCUUCGGAUCGUAAAACUCUGUUAUUAGGGAAGAACAUAUGUGUAAGUAACUGUGCACAUCUUGACGGUACCUAAUCGGAAAGCCACGGCUAACUACGUG